UACAUGGGGUGCAAACGUUGCUCGGAAUUACUGGGCGUAAAGCGCACGUAGGCGGCUUUGCAAGUUAGAGGUGAAAGCCCGGGGCUCAACUCCGGAAUUGCCUUUAAAACUGCAUCGCUAGAAUUGUGGAGAGGUAAGUGGAAUUCCGAGUGUAGAGGUGAAAUUCGUAGAUAUUCGGAAGAACACCAGUGGCGAAGGCGACUUACUGGACACAUAUUGACGCUGAGGUGCGAAAGCGUGGGGAGCAAACAGG
This 253-nucleotide ribosomal RNA is filed under the name uncultured bacterium. RNAcentral describes it as "partial 16S ribosomal RNA". It matches the Rfam family "Bacterial small subunit ribosomal RNA", at positions 524 to 776 of the family's 1533-position model. The record is from RNAcentral.